AAAAGGUCUGGUCCCGGCCUUUCUAUUAGCUAACAAUAAAUUUACACAUGCCAGUAUCAGCAUACCAGUGAGGAUGCCCUUAAACCCUUAAAUACAAUAAGAGUUGAGGAGCGGGUAUAAAGCACACUACUAAGUAGCUAAAAACACCUAGAUAAACCACGCCCCCACGGGUUACAGCAGUGAUAAACUUUAAGCAAUGAACGAAAGUUUGACUUAGUUAUAUUGUUCUAGGGUUGGUAAAUUUCGUGCCAGCCACCGCGGUCAUACGAUUAACCCGAGCUAAUAGACUUAACGGUAUAAAGAGUGUAAAAGAAAAAAACCUAAUAAAUAAUGAAGAUAAGAUAAAUUUAAAGUGUAUAAACUCCUAAAUUUACAAAAACUUAACAACGAAAGUGUCUUCAAUUACCCUGCUUACACGAUAGCUAGAAUCCAAACUGGGAUUAGAUACCCCAUUAUGUCUAGCCGUAAACACUAGUAGUCAUAAAUAAGGCUAUUCACCAGAGAACUACGAGCCACAGCUUAAAACUCAAAGGACUUGGCGGUGCUUCAUACCCCCCUAGAGGAGCCUGUUCUAUAAUCGAUAAACCACGAUACACCUAACCAACUCUUGCUAAUCCAGUCUAUAUACCGCCAUCUUCAGCAAACCCUGAUUAAGGAAUAAAAGUAAGCACAAUCAUUUUAUCCAUAAAAACGUUAGGUCAAGGUGUAACCUAUGAGUUGGGAAGCAAUGGGCUACAUUCUUUAUUAUAAAGUAUAACGAAAGUUUCUAUGAAACUAGAAACCAAAGGAGGAUUUAGUAGUAAGCUAAGAUUAGAAAGCUUAACUGAAAACGGCCAUGAAGCACGUACACACCGCCCGUCACCCUCCUCAAAUACUAAUAAGUUAAAAUAUGUAAAAUUACUAAAAAAGUACUAGAGGAGAUAAGUCGUAACAAGGUAAGUAUACUGGAAAGUGUACUUGGAUGACU
RNAcentral lists this non-coding RNA (967 nucleotides) under Echinosorex gymnura. Its description in RNAcentral is "12S ribosomal RNA". It matches the Rfam family "Bacterial small subunit ribosomal RNA". Lineage: Eukaryota; Metazoa; Chordata; Mammalia; Eulipotyphla; Erinaceidae. The record is from RNAcentral.